UCGUCGCCCCGAAACACGACCGAGAACACGUAACGUAAAGCCUCCGGGGAGGGGCCUCCUCCCCGGACCCACCGGCCCCGGCCCCUCGGCCGGGCGCCGGAACACGGCGCGGACUGUCGCCAAGGAACACCGAAUCUGCCCCGGGCACGCCGCGACACGCGGCGCCGCCGAGGCCAAAGAAAC
This 183-nucleotide unclassified non-coding RNA is filed under the name Cyperus cyperoides. The record is from RNAcentral. Lineage: Eukaryota; Viridiplantae; Streptophyta; Magnoliopsida; Poales; Cyperaceae.